UCGAGAAUCUUCGGCAAUGGGCGCAAGCCUGACCGAGCGACGCCGCGUGGAGGAUGAAGGCCUUCGGGUUGUAAACUCCUGUCGAGGGGGAGGAAGGCCGGGCGACCGGCUUGACCGAUCCCUGGAGGAAGCACGGGCUAAGUUCGUGCCAGCAGCCGCGGUAAGACGAACCGUGCGAACGUUAUUCGGAAUCACUGGGCUUAAAGCGCGUGUAGGCGGGUGGGGACGUCGGCAUCUGAAAGCCCCCGGCUCAACCGGGGAAGGGGAUCCGAAACGCCCCGCCUGGAGGGACGUAGGGGGACCUGGAACUUCCGGUGGAGCGGUGAAAUGCGUUGAGAUCGGAAGGAACGCCCGUGGCGAAAGCGAGGUCCUGGACGUCUGCUGACGCUGAGACGCGAAAGCUAGGGGAGCGAACGG
RNAcentral lists this ribosomal RNA (417 nucleotides) under uncultured bacterium. RNAcentral describes it as "bacterial SSU rRNA". It matches the Rfam family "Bacterial small subunit ribosomal RNA", at positions 355 to 775 of the family's 1533-position model. The record is from RNAcentral.